RNAcentral lists this ribosomal RNA (431 nucleotides) under uncultured bacterium. RNAcentral's name for it is "partial 16S ribosomal RNA". It matches the Rfam family "Bacterial small subunit ribosomal RNA", at positions 29 to 507 of the family's 1533-position model. The record is from RNAcentral.
AACGAACGCUGGCGGCAUGCUUAACACAUGCAAGUCGAACGCGCCGCACGGGUAGUGGCACACGGGGGAGUAUCGCGUGGGGACAUCCCCUUUUCUACUGGGUAGCUCUGGGAGACUGGAAUUAAUACCGUAUACGCCCUCCGCGGGAAAGAGUUAUCGGGGAAGGAUGGGCCCGCGUUGGAUUAGCUAGUUGGUGGGGUAAAGGCCUACCAAGGCGACGAUCCAUAGCUGGUCUGAGAGGAUGAUCAGCCACACUGGGACUGAGACACGGCCCAAACUCCUACGGGAGGCAGCAGUGGGGAAUAUUGGACAAUGGGCGAAAGCCUGAUCCAGCCAUGCCGCGUGAGUGAUGAAGGCCUUAGGGUUGUAAAGCUCUUUUACCGAUGAAGAUAAUGACGGUAGUGGGAGAAGAAGCCCCGGCUAACUCCGUG